GCUACAGGCUUAACACAUGCAAGUCGAGCGGCAGCAUCAUCAAAGCUUGCUUUGAUGGAUGGCGACCGGCGCACGGGUGAGUAACACGUAUCCAACCUGCCGACAACACUGGGAUAGCCUUUCGAAAGAAAGAUUAAUACCGGAUGGCAUAGUUUUCCCGCAUGGGAUAAUUAUUAAAGAAUUUCGGUUGUCGAUGGGGAUGCGUUCCAUUAGGCAGUUGGCGGGGUAACGGCCCACCAAACCAACGAUGGAUAGGGGUUCUGAGAGGAAGGUCCCCCACAUUGGAACUGAGACACGGUCCAAACUCCUACGGGAGGCAGCAGUGAGGAAUAUUGGUCAAUGGACGAGAGUCUGAACCAGCCAAGUAGCGUGAAGGAUGACUGCCCUAUGGGUUGUAAACUUCUUUUAUACGGGAAUAAAGUGAGCCACGUGUGGCUUUUUGUAUGUACCGUAUGAAUAAGGAUCGGCUAACUCCGUGCCAGCAGCCGCGGUAAUACGGAGGAUCCGAGCGUUAUCCGGAUUUAUUGGGUUUAAAGGGAGCGUAGGCGGGUUGUUAAGUCAGUUGUGAAAGUUUGCGGCUCAACCGUAAAAUUGCAGUUGAUACUGGCGACCUUGAGUGCAACAGAGGUAGGCGGAAUUCGUGGUGUAGCGGUGAAAUGCUUAGAUAUCACGAAGAACUCCGAUUGCGAAGGCAGCUCACUGGACUGCAACUGACACUGAUGCUCGAAAGCGUGGGUAUCAAACAGGAUUAGAUACCCUGGUAGUCCACACAGUAAACGAUGAAUACUCGCUGUUUGCGAUAUACAGUAAGCGGCCAAGCGAAAGCAUUAAGUAUUCCACCUGGGGAGUACGCCGGCAACGGUGAAACUCAAAGGAAUUGACGGGGGCCCGCACAAGCGGAGGAACAUGUGGUUUAAUUCGAUGAUACGCGAGGAACCUUACCCGGGCUUAAAUUGCAUUUGAAUAUAUUGGAAACAGUAUAGCCGUAAGGCAAAUGUGAAGGUGCUGCAUGGUUGUCGUCAGCUCGUGCCGUGAGGUGUCGGCUUAAGUGCCAUAACGAGCGCAACCCUUAUCUUUAGUUACUAACAGGUCAUGCUGAGGACUCUAGAGAGACUGCCGUCGUAAGAUGUGAGGAAGGUGGGGAUGACGUCAAAUCAGCACGGCCCUUACGUCCGGGGCUACACACGUGUUACAAUGGGGGGUACAGAAGGCAGCUACCUGGUGACAGGAUGCUAACCCCAAAAGCCUCUCUCAGUUCGGAUCGAAGUCUGCAACCCGACUUCGUGAAGCUGGAUUCGCUAGUAAUCGCGCAUCAGCCAUGGCGCGGUGAAUACGUUCCCGGGCCUUGUACACACCGCCCGUCAAGCCAUGAAAGCCGGGGGUACCUAAAGUACGUAACCGCAAGGAGCGUCCUAGGGUAAAAC
Molecule: ribosomal RNA, 1424 nt
Filed under: uncultured organism
Description: SSU rRNA
Rfam family: Bacterial small subunit ribosomal RNA
Source: RNAcentral